RNAcentral lists this ribosomal RNA (460 nucleotides) under uncultured bacterium. Its description in RNAcentral is "partial 16S ribosomal RNA". It matches the Rfam family "Bacterial small subunit ribosomal RNA", at positions 338 to 795 of the family's 1533-position model. The record is from RNAcentral.
CCUACGGGAGGCAGCAGUGAGGAAUAUUGGUCAAUGGGCGCGAGUCUGAACCAGCCAAGCAGCGUGAAGGAAGACUGCCCUAUGGGUUGUAAACUUCUUUUAUAAAAGAAUAAAGUGAGGUACGUGUGUCUUGUUGAAUGUAUCGUACGAAUAAGGAUCGGCUAACUCCGUGCCAGCAGCCGCGGUAAUACGGAGGAUUCGAGCGUUAUCCGGAUUUAUUGGGUUUAAAGGGAGCGUAGACGGGUUGUUAAGUUAGUGGUGAAAGUUUGCGGCUCAACUGUGGCAUUGCCAGUGAUACUGGCGGGCUAGAGUACAGUUGAGGUAGGCGGAAUUCGUGGUGUAGCGGUGAAAUGCAUAGAUAUCACGAAGAACUCCGAUUGCGAAGGCAGCUUACCAAACUACCACUGACGUUGAGGCACGAAAGCGUGGGUAGCAAACAGGAUUAGAUACCCCAGUAGUC